CGGAGGAAAUGCGCUGGGCCGG
RNAcentral lists this unclassified non-coding RNA (22 nucleotides) under Chlamydomonas reinhardtii. RNAcentral describes it as "small RNA Cre_1301". Lineage: Eukaryota; Viridiplantae; Chlorophyta; Chlorophyceae; Chlamydomonadales; Chlamydomonadaceae. The record is from RNAcentral.